UGGUCCCGCUGCCGGAGCCGAGCGGCCGCGGCCCCGGCGGCCUGAGGGAGCGGCCCGGCCCGACAUGCCUGCCGGGCCCUCGGCGCAGGUGUUGUUUGGAUUGUAGCAUAGAGGCACUAUGUACUCAGAGUGGAGAUCCUUGCAUCUUGUCAUUCAAAAUGAUCAGGGGAAUACCAGUGUACUUCACAGCUAUCCUGAGAACGUGGGGAGAGAAGUGGCAAAUGCAGUGGUGCGUCCGCUUGGACAAGCUUUAAUUACAUCAUCUGUUGGAAGUGAGAGUUUACUAAAAACAGACAAAGAAGUAAAAUGGACUAUGGAGGUGGUUUGUUAUGGACUGACUCUCCCUCUGGACGGCGAUACUGUGAAAUACUGUGUGGAUGUAUAUACAGAUUGGAUUAUGGCUCUUGUGUUACCUAAGGACUCCAUUCCUUUACCUGUUAUUAAGGAACCAAACCUUUAUGUUCAAAGCAUUCUCAAACAUCUCCAAAAUCUCUUUGUA
This is a long non-coding RNA of Lepidothrix coronata (blue-crowned manakin), 499 nucleotides long. RefSeq lists it as uncharacterized. NCBI's taxonomy places the organism in Eukaryota, Metazoa, Chordata, Aves, Passeriformes, Pipridae. The record is from RefSeq and is a predicted model, not a curated record. The transcript has 3 exons.